GAUGAACGCUGACAGAAUGCUUAACACAUGCAAGUCUACUUGAAUUUGGGUUUUUAUCUUAGGUUUGGGUGUCGCACGGGUGAGUAUCGCGUAAAGAUCUUGCCCCACAGCUAGUGACAAAAUUUGGAAACGAAUGCUAUUAUCUAAUAUUAUGAUAAUAGGACAUUCUAUAUUUAUGAAAGCUAUAAGCGCUGUGAGAGAGCUUCGCGUCCCAUUAGCUAGUUGGAGAGGUAACGGCUCACCAAGGCGAUGAUGGGUAGCCGGCCUGAGAGGGUGAUCGGCCACAAGGGGACUGAGACACGGCCCUUACUCCUACGGGAGGCAGCAGUGGGGAAUAUUGGACAAUGGACCGAGAGUCUGAUCCAGCAAUUCUGUGUGCACGAUGAGGUUUUUCGGAAUGUAAAGUGCUUUCAGUUGAGAAGAAACAAAUGACGGUACCAACAGAAGAAGUGACGGCUAAAUACGUG
RNAcentral lists this ribosomal RNA (467 nucleotides) under uncultured bacterium. RNAcentral describes it as "partial 16S ribosomal RNA". It matches the Rfam family "Bacterial small subunit ribosomal RNA", at positions 28 to 507 of the family's 1533-position model. The record is from RNAcentral.